This 468-nucleotide ribosomal RNA is filed under the name uncultured bacterium. RNAcentral describes it as "partial 16S ribosomal RNA". It matches the Rfam family "Bacterial small subunit ribosomal RNA", at positions 28 to 507 of the family's 1533-position model. The record is from RNAcentral.
GACGAACGCUGGCGGCGUGCUUAACACAUGCAAGUCGAACGGAAAGGCCCUGCUUUUGUGGGGUGCUCGAGUGGCGAACGGGUGAGUAACACGUGAGUAACCUGCCCUUGACUUUGGGAUAACUUCAGGAAACUGGGGCUAAUACCGGAUAGGAGCUCCUGCUGCAUGGUGGGGGUUGGAAAGUUUCGGCGGUUGGGGAUGGACUCGCGGCUUAUCAGCUUGUUGGUGGGGUAGUGGCUUACCAAGGCUUUGACGGGUAGCCGGCCUGAGAGGGUGACCGGCCACAUUGGGACUGCGAUACGGCCCAGACUCCUACGGGAGGCAGCAGUGGGGAAUAUUGCACAAUGGGCGGAAGCCUGAUGCAGCAACGCCGCGUGCGGAAUGACGGCUUUCGGGUUGUAAACCGCUUUCGCCUGUGACGAAGCGUGAGUGACGGUAAUGGGUAAAGAAGCACCGGCUAACUACGUG